UGCAAGUCGAGGGGCAGCGCGGGAUAGCAAUAUCUUGGCGGCGACCGGCGGAAGGGUGCGUAACGCGUGAGCGACAUGCCCGUUGCCCGGGGACAACCGGUGGAAACGCCGACUAAUCCCCCGAUGGGAUACGAUGCCCCAUGGCAUUGUAUUGAGAGUUACGGCGGCGACGGAUUGGCUCGCGUCCGAUUAGCUGGUUGGCGGGGUAACGGCCCACCAAGGCUACGAUCGGUAGGGGUUCUGAGAGGAAGGCCCCCCCACAAUGGGACUGAGACACGGCCCAUACUCC
RNAcentral lists this ribosomal RNA (289 nucleotides) under uncultured bacterium. RNAcentral describes it as "partial 16S ribosomal RNA". It matches the Rfam family "Bacterial small subunit ribosomal RNA", at positions 56 to 339 of the family's 1533-position model. The record is from RNAcentral.